Dipodomys ordii (Ord's kangaroo rat) is the source of this 1389-nucleotide long non-coding RNA. RefSeq lists it as uncharacterized. NCBI's taxonomy places the organism in Eukaryota, Metazoa, Chordata, Mammalia, Rodentia, Heteromyidae. The transcript is spliced from 5 exons. The record is from RefSeq and is a predicted model, not a curated record.
GCUGCCUUCGCUGCGCCCCCCCGCCCCCCUCGGAUCCCAAGCCUGCUACGCCGCCGGAGGUGGGAAGACAGACGGACGGAUGGACAGACACGCCGAUUCUAGCACUCAGAUCUCCACCGCCUUGGCUCCUCGCAGCCCCGCGUUGGGGUGGCUGAGACGGCUAGCGGAGCACCGCGAGGUUCACGUGGAAAAGCCCAGAAGAACAUCCAGCCAACACGUGGAGACUGCUUUUUCUAGUUAUGUAAUUAGCCCAGGAAGCUUGCUCUGCUAACUUUCUGCAACAGUCCCAGCAUUCUUCCAGGCUCCCUGGCCCUCUCCAAGGCACGAGGGUCUGGCCAACUUGAAAGUGUGAAUCAAGUUCAGCUGCAAAGAACUGAGCUCCUGGAUUUUAAGUGUGAGCGCUUGGGUUGAAGACAUUGAGCGCCCAAGGAAGGAAGCAACUUGUGCAUUCCCAGCUGUUCUUUGCGUGUGCUUGACCCUGGCAAUGAAGAAGAAAAAGCAGAUCAGUCUCCUGUGGCUCUGAAAGCCAGAGGCAUUUCUCUGCCAUACAAAAUGUCCCCUUUACCCCCAGCCCUUCUCCAGCCUUCUAGCUCCCAUGAAAAGAACUCAGGACCCCUCACCCAGAGAGAACCAUGAUGCAGGCCAGGGAAGCCAGCAUGGUUUUGUGCCUGAAGGCCCUCCUCUCCUGGCUGCCGGUGGAUGACUGGACCCCAGCAGCUCCUAAGACAAGAAGAGUCAGUGCCCGCCUGGCAUGGAGGGUCCUGGCAGAUAGCCAAGCUGCAGGUGCUUGAAGAAGUUCAAGUUACACACACUAGGGCUUGUUGAGUCCCCAGACCUGGCCUGAGACUCUGAAUUUCUAACAAGCCUCUCGUGAAGAUGGAUUUUUGCUGGCCUGGAGACCACAGUGAGAGUACCAAAGGGGUAUCUUGCUGUGGCCAGAACUCCUGCCCAACUUCUAAAGCUACAAAUGGUUCUGUGGAGCCACUCAUCUGGACACCUAAGAGGCAGACAAGUCUACUGCUAAUUGUUACAGAUGCGCCCUCCUUGGGAGGCUCUGCCAGCCUUCACAGCUGCCUUGGCACUCUAGCCAGCCUCCCGUUGCCUCACGAGUGUGACCUUGGCUCUCUACCCCUCCACCCGCCCCCAUGUGAAUCUGUUGCCCAGUAACACAGAAAGAAGAAACACAGGGACAGAGCUAUCACUACAGAUAUUGUAGUGAGCAGGGCCAUGCUUUUGCAAGGUAGCAAAUGCUAAAGGGUGCUAGCUACACCCCAGAAGCUGGAAGGACAGGUUGGGUCCCAUUCUGCCCUCGGGAAAGAGGGGGAGGUAGAGGGGCUCAGAAGCAGGCAGCUUUGCCCACCUUCGCUUCAAACUUCAUCCUCCAGAACU